Molecule: long non-coding RNA, 2343 nt
Organism: Labeo rohita (rohu)
Lineage: Eukaryota; Metazoa; Chordata; Actinopteri; Cypriniformes; Cyprinidae
Exons: 3
Source: RefSeq, a predicted model, not a curated record
AGCCGGCCAUGCUUCAAAAAGGAGCCUCGCGCCGGGAACCCCCUUCAGACGGUGGAGCGCACAGCGUCCAUGGGAACAGAACGGGGACCCCCUCUCUGCAUCUCUACCCAUCCCGACACCAAACGCCCAGCACCCUCCCACCCAAACACCAAUGUGAACGAUCCUUCGUCUUCAAGACGCAGACUGCGAGUCUGAAGAGGGGGAAACACAACAUGGACAGUUGACACACAACAUGCUGCAGGUCACCGUGCUUCAUUUCAGUCUAUAAACAGCAACAAAGUGGAGCCAGACAUGCAUGUCAACCGAGCCCUUGAGUGCUUCUCCAAAGACUCGUACUGUAAACUGUGAACAGUACCUUGUGGAUAAGCUGCAUAUCUGUCUGUUAAUGCCUGCUGCCCUCAUCUCUCCAUAAACCACAGCACUGCUGGAAAAGCCAUUAGAGAGAACUGUGUCAGAGUGAGCGAAUGAUCCUGCAUAAUCACACUCGCUUCCUGGACGGAGAAGUGAAAACGAUCCACAAAAUAUAUAGAAGGAGCGCAAAGGCUUGUCUGUCUGGGUGCUAUACAGUAGCAUUUUGUGGUUUCCGCACACCGCAGCCUCAGACGGCAGCACAUUCAGAGAGCUGACGCCACUGGAGCGAGGAUUUUCUGCUAUGCAGAUGCCAGUGUGGUCUUAUCACAUGAUUGGGAAGGGUUCAGAGUCUUUUAAACUUAUUGGAACCAUGUCAUCCGCUACUUUGAGAAGAUAAAACCCACACUUGGCUGGAUUCUGACGGGUUUAUGAACCUUCUCAGACAUCCUGCUUCUUGAAGUAUGUGUCGAAUCAGCCUGUUUAUUCGGCUGGGAUUUUAUGAGAUGAGAAACGAGGACGCCCCCUUCAACCCGGCUUCCCUGCGGACCGGUCUGAUUGAGACAGAGGAAGUGGUUGUGUAUAAAGGGGCGUGGCUUCGCAUUCUGCGGUACGCUGAUCUGAGUGACUCAGGGGCACUACAGCAGACGGCCUCAUUGAUGUUGCCUUUGAACUUGAGUACAGAUGUCCACCACAGGAGUAAACAUCCUGUUCUAUGACCACCGAACUAGCAGAGCCAGUCUGCGCCGUAUACCGCCGGGGGCAGAAAAGCGCUGGAAGUCGAAGAGAGCGUGCAGUUGUUUAUUCAGUGGAUUGGAGUCCCGCAGCUCCAAGGUUUUUCUUGGGUGACGGCCACUUUCAGAGGCAAGAGCUCAUGCUAAAUAUCCCGCUGUCAGGCUGGCAAGCUAGUUUGUGUUUGAAUGACAACAUAAAGGCUUUCCGUUAUCCUGGGUGGCAUUCCAAAGCAUAGGAUCAACUAGGAAGGAAAAGCUGAGAGGUUUGUAGGGAGAUCAGGGCAUGUAGGUCAAAGCCAUUUCCUGCACACCCACAACACUUCCCCCAUAAACAUCCAUGAGCUUGGGCCUAACAAAUCCAUCCGUCGUAUUAAUCUCAUCAAUGUUUAAUAAUAAAAUACUAUAUAAACACCAUGUAAUUGAAUAUUCAUCUUCUGCCUCCAAUCUUUAGGUUUAAUAGCUGCAGGUCAAACCGCUUGGCUGGGUGACAAACCGAGGAAUUCAUCCAAACCUCUAGUUCCUUAUAAGAGACUGAGUCAGCUCCAGUGUAAUCAGCAGGACGUAGGAGUUCGUAGUCCAUGUUGAUCAAAGACGGUAAGAUGGGAAACACAAAAGGAGCCCUGAAUGAUUCAUUCCCCCUACAGUCCUCAGGCCCAAGGUGCAGUGCUGCAUCUCUGGUCAACUGGGAGUCUGAGAUGAAGCACUGUAGCUCGGGAGGAAGGACGCUGCCUGCUAGACCUUGAUUUUACAUUACAAAUUAGAGAUUUCUAUUGAAUAAAAUGGCUCCUGCGGCCAUUGUUUAUCAUUGUAGACCAGGUGUUGGUUCUAGGAUUGAAUGUGCUUCUAUUGUUGCCGGUCUUCCGUAACAAUGCAUCAUUUCCCCAUCCCCGGGGUCCAGUUUUCCCAGGAAUCCCUUGGGCAAUCAUAAGGGGGAUUCCUGGAAAUACUGUUCUUGGGGGUGGGGCUGGACAACCGAAUUCAUUUAAUGAUAUUUUCAACUGUAACUGUUUUAUAUAAUCAUGUAUUACUAUAACCACUGGUUAUACACGACGAUUCAAAGUUUGGGAUCAUCAUUUUGUAAUAUUUAUUAUGCUCAGAAUACAUUUAUUGAAUUAAAAAUACAGUAAAAACAGUAAUAUUAUGAAAUAUUAUUACAAUUUAAAACAACUGUUUUCUAAUAUACUUUCACAUUCCUGUGAUGCAAAGCUGCAUUUUCAGCGGCCAUUUCCAAAAUUUUCAAUGUCACAUGAUCCUUCAGAAA